UCUCCAGCCCGGGUUUGUUCCAGAA
RNAcentral lists this non-coding RNA (25 nucleotides) under Rattus norvegicus (Norway rat). Lineage: Eukaryota; Metazoa; Chordata; Mammalia; Rodentia; Muridae. The record is from RNAcentral.